RNAcentral lists this ribosomal RNA (252 nucleotides) under uncultured bacterium. RNAcentral describes it as "partial 16S ribosomal RNA". It matches the Rfam family "Bacterial small subunit ribosomal RNA", at positions 524 to 776 of the family's 1533-position model. The record is from RNAcentral.
UACGUAGGGGGCUAGCGUUGUCCGGAUUAUUGGGCGUAAGAGCGUGUAGGCGGCCAUGUAGGUCCGGUGUGAAAACUCGAGGCUUAACCUCGAGAUGUCAUCGGAAACCAUUUGGCUAGAGUCCGGAAGAGGAGAGUGGAAAUUCCUGGUGUAGCGGUGAAAUGCGCAGAUAUCAGGAAGAACACCAAUGGCGAAAGCAGCUCUCUGGGACGGUACUGACGCUGAGACGCGAAAGCGUGGGGAGCGAACAGG